CGUGCCUAAUACAUGCAAGUCGAGCGAACGGAUAAGGAGCUUGCUCCUUUGAAGUUAGCGGCGGACGGGUGAGUAACACGUGGGUAACCUACCUAUAAGACUGGAAUAACUUCGGGAAACCGGAGCUAAUGCCGGAUAACAUUUGGAACCGCAUGGUUCUAAAGUAAAAGAUGGUUUUGCUAUCACUUAUAGAUGGACCCGCGCCGUAUUAGCUAGUUGGUAAGGUAACGGCUUACCAAGGCAACGAUACGUAGCCGACCUGAGAGGGUGAUCGGCCACACUGGAACUGAGACACGGUCCAGACUCCUACGGGAGGCAGCAGUAGGGAAUCUUCCGCAAUGGACGAAAGUCUGACGGAGCAACGCCGCGUGAGUGAUGAAGGUUUUCGGAUCGUAAAACUCUGUUAUUAGGGAAGAACAAAUGUGUAAGUAACUG
RNAcentral lists this ribosomal RNA (435 nucleotides) under Staphylococcus equorum. RNAcentral's name for it is "bacterial SSU rRNA". It matches the Rfam family "Bacterial small subunit ribosomal RNA", at positions 43 to 467 of the family's 1533-position model. Lineage: Bacteria; Bacillati; Bacillota; Bacilli; Caryophanales; Staphylococcaceae. The record is from RNAcentral.